UCCUACGGGAGGCAGCAGUGGGGAAUAUUGGACAAUGGGCGGAAGCCUGAUCCAGCCAUGCCGCGUGUGUGAAGAAGGCCUUUUGGUUGUAAAGCACUUUAAGCGAGGAGGAGGCUACCUGGAUUAAUACUCUAGGAUAGUGGACGUUACUCGCAGAAUAAGCACCGGCUAACUCUGUGCCAGCAGCCGCGGUAAUACAGAGGGUGCGAGCGUUAAUCGGAUUUACUGGGCGUAAAGCGUGCGUAGGCGGCUUUUUAAGUCGGAUGUGAAAUCCCCGAGCUUAACUUGGGAAUUGCAUUCGAUACUGGGAAGCUAGAGUAUGGGAGAGGAUGGUAGAAUUCCAGGUGUAGCGGUGAAAUGCGUAGAGAUCUGGAGGAAUACCGAUGGCGAAGGCAGCCAUCUGGCCUAAUACUGACGCUGAGGUACGAAAGCAUGGGGAGCAAACAGGAUUAGAUACCCUGGUAGUCC
RNAcentral lists this ribosomal RNA (468 nucleotides) under uncultured bacterium. RNAcentral's name for it is "bacterial SSU rRNA". It matches the Rfam family "Bacterial small subunit ribosomal RNA", at positions 337 to 796 of the family's 1533-position model. The record is from RNAcentral.